GACGAACGCUGGCGGCGUGCUUAACACAUGCAAGUCGAACGGAAAGGCCCUGCUUUUGUGGGGUGCUCGAGUGGCGAACGGGUGAGUAACACGUGAGUAACCUGCCCUUGACUUUGGGAUAACUUCAGGAAACUGGGGCUAAUACCGGAUAGGAGCUCCUGCUGCAUGGUGGGGGUUGGAAAGUUUCGGCGGUUUGGGAUGGACUCGCGGCUUAUCAGCUUGUUGGUGAGGUAGUGGCUUACCAAGGCUUUGACGGGUAGCCGGCCUGAGAGGGUGAACGGCCACAUUGGGACUGCGAUACGGCCCAGACUCCUACGGGACGCAGAAGUGGGGAAUCUUGCACAAUGGGCGGAAGCCUGAUGCAGCAACGCCGCGUGCGGGAUGACGGCUUUCGGGUUGUAAACCGCUUUCGCCUGUGACGAAGCGUGAGUGACGGUAAUGGGUAAAGAAGCACCGGCUAACUACGUG
Molecule: ribosomal RNA, 468 nt
Filed under: uncultured bacterium
Lineage: Bacteria
Description: partial 16S ribosomal RNA
Rfam family: Bacterial small subunit ribosomal RNA
Source: RNAcentral